AGUAAAAGUCGUAACAAGGUUUCCGUAGGUGAACCUGCGGAAGGAUCAUUAACGAGUAAAUGGGAAGGGUUGUUGCUGGCUUCAAAAGAGGAGCACCGUGCACACCUGACUCAAUCCACUCUCAAACCCCUGUGCACUUAUUGUAGGCUUGGUGACUGAAGAGCUCGCGAGAGUUCUGACGAAGCUGGGUCUAUGUUUUUAUAAACGCUUCAGUUUAAGAAUGUUACUCGCGUAUAACGCAAUAAAUACAACUUUCAGCAACGGAUCUCUUGGCUCUCGCAUCGAUGAAGAACGCAGCGAAAUGCGAUAAGUAAUGUGAAUUGCAGAAUUCAGUGAAUCAUCGAAUCUUUGAACGCACCUUGCGCUCCUUGGUAUUCCGAGGAGCAUGCCUGUUUGAGUGUCAUGGUAUUCUCAACUCUACAAAGCUUUUGCAAUGCAGAGUUGGAUUUGGAGGUUUGUGUCGGCUUGAGAAAGUUGACUCCUCUGAAAUGCAUUAGUGUGAACCUUUACGGAUCGCCUCCAGUGUGAUAAUGUCUACACUGUGGUGUUGAAGUAUCUCUAGUGUUCAUGCUUCUAAUCGUCUCUUUGAGACAAUUACCUGACAAUCUGACCUCAAAUC
Molecule: ribosomal RNA, 619 nt
Filed under: uncultured fungus
Lineage: Eukaryota; Fungi
Description: eukaryotic LSU rRNA
Rfam family: 5.8S ribosomal RNA (bases 250-403)
Source: RNAcentral